UGGAGAGCGAGGAGACUGUCCACGUGUUUUAGAUGGGCUGGCAGAAGCCCACUUUGGCACAUCCCAAGGCCCUCACUGCUCCUUCCUCCCUGUUCCUCACCACUGAAGCUGCUUGGUGGGGGGUGCCCAGCAUUUGGGGUUGGGGGUGAGGACCUGGUGCAAGGCAAUAUUUUGUCUCUACAGACAAUAUUCUUGUGCAGUGCCAUGGGAGAAGGUUGCAAGAGAUGCUCAGCUGGUGAAUGCUCCUGAAGGACCACAUCUUGACCGACUUUGGUCUGAGCACCAGCACUGCACCACAGGAGGAGAAAGCUUAUGCUGUCGCUGCUGGAGACAUUCCAAAUCCAAGCACGAAAAUGUCAUGUACAGCACGCUGGGAAGGCCAAAUAAUGAGCAGUCUGCAGCAAGGAUCUACCUUUCAUUUUCUCCCCUUCCUCAGAGUGGCAAUGUCUGCUCAGCACAUCUUGGGAGCAAAAUGCAGCUGGGCUGGAGCAGAAAUAAACCGGAUAGCUGAAAUAGGAGAACUGCGUUGGACUGAAUACACC
This 542-nucleotide long non-coding RNA is filed under the name Gallus gallus (chicken). RNAcentral describes it as "lncRNA (ENSGALG00010020270.1)". The record is from RNAcentral. Lineage: Eukaryota; Metazoa; Chordata; Aves; Galliformes; Phasianidae.